Molecule: ribosomal RNA, 465 nt
Filed under: uncultured bacterium
Lineage: Bacteria
Description: partial 16S ribosomal RNA
Rfam family: Bacterial small subunit ribosomal RNA
Source: RNAcentral
CCUACGGGAGGCUGCAGUGGGGAAUAUUGCGCAAUGGGCGAAAGCCUGACGCAGCGACGCCGCGUGAGGGAUGAAGGUCUUCGGAUCGGAAAACUCUGUCAGCAGGGAAGAACGGUCACUGUGCUAAUCAGCAGUGAAUUGACGGUACCUGCAAAGGAAGCACCGGCUAACUCCGUGCCAGCAGCCGCGGUAAUACGGAGGGUGCGAGCGUUAAUCGGAAUUAAUGGGCGUAAAGCGGUCGUAGGCGGUAUGUCAAGUCAAGGGUGAAAUCCCCGAGCUCAACGUGGGAACUGACUAUGAAACUGGCAAACUGGAGUGUGUGAGAGGAUAGUGGAAUUCCAGGUGUAGGAGUGAAAUCCGUAGAUAUCUGGAGGAACAUCAGUGGCGAAGGCGACUAUCUGGCACAUAACUGACGCUGAGGAGCGAAAGCGUGGGUAGCGAACAGGAUUAGAUACCCCAGUAGUC